CGUGAGGGAAAGGCGAAAAGAACCCCGGCGAGGGGAGUGAAAAAGAACCUGAAACCGUGUACGUACAAGCAGUGGGAGCACGCUUAGGCGUGUGACUGCGUACCUUUUGUAUAAUGGGUCAGCGACUUAUAUUCUGUAGCAAGGUUAACCGAAUAGGGGAGCCGAAGGGAAACCGAGUCUUAACUGGGCGUUAAGUUGCAGGGUAUAGACCCGAAACCCGGUGAUCUAGCCAUGGGCAGGUUGAAGGUUGGGUAACACUAACUGGAGGACCGAACCGACUAAUGUUGAAAAAUUAGCGGAUGACUUGUGGCUGGGGGUGAAAGGCCAAUCAAACCGGGAGAUAGCUGGUUCUCCCCGAAAGCUAUUUAGGUAGCGCCUCGUGAAUUCAUCUCCGGGGGUAGAGCACUGUUUCGGCAAGGGGGUCAUCCCGACUUACCAACCCGAUGCAAACUGCGAAUACCGGAGAAUGUUAUCACGGGAGACACACGGCGGGUGCUAACGUCCGUCGUGAAGAGGGAAACAACCCAGACCGCCAGCUAAGGUCCCAAAGUCAUGGUUAAGUGGGAAACGAUGUGGGAAGGCCCAGACAGCCAGGAUGUUGGCUUAGAAGCAGCCAUCAUUUAAAGAAAGCGUAAUAGCUCACUGGUCGAGUCGGCCUGCGCGGAAGAUGUAACGGGGCUAAACCAUGCAC
This 691-nucleotide ribosomal RNA is filed under the name Escherichia coli. RNAcentral describes it as "partial 23S ribosomal RNA". It matches the Rfam family "Bacterial large subunit ribosomal RNA", at positions 502 to 1194 of the family's 2925-position model. The record is from RNAcentral. Lineage: Bacteria; Pseudomonadati; Pseudomonadota; Gammaproteobacteria; Enterobacterales; Enterobacteriaceae.